GGAGCUGGUUCCUCAUUAAACAAUUCCAGCACUAACUUUACUUUUUAACAAAUUACUGCUGUUAUAUUUUGGUAAUCUCUGUCUAAACAGAAUAAUGUCAGUGACUAACACAGUUAUCUGUUAUACAGUGUCAGCAUUUUCCCGGCAACUUCCCACUCACCCUUUGGCCCAUUUCAAGCAAAUCUUAUGGUGGCCUGACAUUCUUAAAAGACAGCAAGUUUCCCCAGGUGUGAAAACAUAGUGAGGUUAUCAGCUUAUUUGGACUUCCUGUAAUAAUGUCAUACUCGCUUUCCCCAGACAAAUAACCAAAGGACUGAACGCUUCCGACGGCACAGCUGCCAGCGUUGUGCAAGCAGCAGAGCUAAUGGUAUGCCAGUCUCCUGUGGUCAUAGCUUAUGCCUAGAUUCCCCGAUGUCAAAUCUAAGUGACGCUUGCACCAUAACUCUUUCUUCAUUAUAAAAUCUCCCUUUUUCUUGUCUGGUUUUGUGCCAUUUGGAGAAUGUGCUUUGGCUGGAAUCCUUCUGUCAGAUUUUCUUUAAAUUGUUCAGUGGGCAUGAAGUGAUUGGGAGAAGCAACCAUGUCAAAGACAGAGCGCUAUACAGGAGGCAGGGUGAUCACAUAAAUCUGCAUUAAUUGCUACAGGAUUGCAGUUUUACUGCCUUGCAGUGGAGCAGAGGAAGUGGAGGAUGGAGUAUAGCGGAGGAAGUGAUGCAGGGGAAUUCUUUACUGCUCUCAACGCUUGCUUUGGACAACUUUCCCACCAAAACAGAUAUCAGUGUUUGUGAGCUGGUUAACUGUGGCAAGGGCUAAGUAGUCCUUGCUGUAAACCUGUGAGGGUCACAGCAGUGGGCUGCAGGAGAGACUGCUACAGCUGUGCAGACGGAAUGAAGAGGCCAAAGGUCACUCCAUAGAAUUUCUUCAUCCCACAGGAUCCAUUUCUUCACAAGCGGUAUUGCAGCGCACAGGAUAAAGAUAUCAGAAAUAGGUUUCAGCCAGCAGCUGUGGUGGUUGCCAUCUCCUCAUCAGCAUGAAACUCACAGCAGUCUUUUUGAGAAGGAAAGGUGAGAGCAAAAGUUGACACAAUGCUAGUGUUAUUUUCUUGUGCAGUCCAAAUUUGAGAAUGAGGCCAGAAGGAGGAGGCAAUGGAAAUUUGGAUGUGCUAGUGUGGCUCAGCAGAACUAAAUCACUUCUGGUCCCUGGUCCAGCUUCUUUAAGCUUGACAGGUAGCUUUACACUGCAAUGUAGACAUAUAUGCAGUGCUUUGAAUAAACAACUGCAUUAUAUUAUCAAUCCUCUUAUUUGUUGCACAAUGUUCUGGUAAAGAAAAAAAUAAUUAGAAUGGAUGCUGACCACUAGAGUUCAUGGCAGCCUGGGUUCAGCCUCGUAGACAUCUCCUAAGGAGAAAAUGACUCAUUGUUCAGGGACUUUUUUAAAAUUAACCGUUCUCAUCGUACCGAGGUUGGGGAAUUCCAGUGUAUUGAAAGAUAGAAUCCACAUUCUAUUCACUGCCACAGUUUAUGAGAUUUGCUGCAUCCAUUUUAAGAUCUGGCUUAUUCAGACCAAUUAUAUUAACUGACACCAAAGCCCUAAGAACCUUGGUUUCUGGUGAGCAGAUGCCAUCUUUGAGGGAUGAAGCCAGAAACCAAGAAAAGCCAGAGUUCAAGUCAAGCAAAUGCCAACAUACCUUUAAGCUAUAUGUAAGCCUUCCUGGGUGGGACGUGGUACAGGGAGCAGCUUGCCUACCGGGAUUGGAGCUAUCUUAGCAUAGAGCAUUC
This is a long non-coding RNA of Gallus gallus (chicken), 1775 nucleotides long. The record is from Ensembl. Lineage: Eukaryota; Metazoa; Chordata; Aves; Galliformes; Phasianidae.